RNAcentral lists this ribosomal RNA (484 nucleotides) under uncultured bacterium. RNAcentral's name for it is "partial 16S ribosomal RNA". It matches the Rfam family "Bacterial small subunit ribosomal RNA", at positions 30 to 507 of the family's 1533-position model. The record is from RNAcentral.
AUUGAACGCUGGCGGCAGGCCUAACACAUGCAAGUCGAGCGGAUGAAGGGAGCUUGCUCCUGGAUUCAGCGGCGGACGGGUGAGUAAUGCCUAGGAAUCUGUCUGGUAGUGGGUGAUAACGUCCGGAAACGGGCGCUAAUACCGCAUACGUCCUGAGGGAGAAAGUGGGGGAUCUUCGGACCUCACGCUAUCAGAUGAGCCUAGGUCGGAUUAGCUAGUUGGUGGGGUAAAGGCCUACCAAGGCGACGAUCCGUAACUGGUCUGAGAGGAUGAUCAGUCACACUGGAACUGAGACACGGUCCAGACUCCUACGGGAGGCAGCAGUGGGGAAUAUUGGACAAUGGGCGAAAGCCUGAUCCAGCCAUGCCGCGUGUGUGAAGAAGGUCUUCGGAUUGUAAAGCACUUUAAGUUGGGAGGAAGGGCAGUAAGUUAAUACCUUGCUGUUUUGACGUUACCAACAGAAUAAGCACCGGCUAACUUCGUG